Molecule: ribosomal RNA, 468 nt
Filed under: uncultured bacterium
Lineage: Bacteria
Description: partial 16S ribosomal RNA
Rfam family: Bacterial small subunit ribosomal RNA
Source: RNAcentral
GACGAACGCUGGCGGCGUGCUUAACACAUGCAAGUCGAACGGAAAGGCCCUGCUUUUGUGGGGUGCUCGAGUGGCGAACGGGUGAGUAACACGUGAGUAACCUGCCCUUGACUUUGGGUUAACUUCAGGAAACUGGGGCUAAUACCGGAUAGGAGCUCCUGCUGCAUGGUGGGGGUUGGAAAGUUUCGGCGGUUGGGGAUGGACUCGCGGCUUAUCAGCUUGUUGGUGGGGUAGUGGCUUACCAAGGCUUUGACGGGUAGCCGGCCUGAGAGGGUGACCGGCCACAUUGGGACUGAGAUACGGCCCAGACUCCUACGGGAGGCAGCAGUGGGGAAUAUUGCACAAUGGGCGGAAGCCUGAUGCAGCAACGCCGCGUGCGGGAUGACGGCCUUCGGGUUGUAAACCGCUUUCGCCAGUGACGAAGCGUGAGUGACGGUAAUGGGUAAAGAAGCACCGGCUAACUACGUG